Long non-coding RNA from Neolamprologus brichardi, 1010 nucleotides. RefSeq lists it as uncharacterized. NCBI's taxonomy places the organism in Eukaryota, Metazoa, Chordata, Actinopteri, Cichliformes, Cichlidae. The record is from RefSeq and is a predicted model, not a curated record.
GAUGUUGAAGUCCCAUUUCCGUGAGCUGAUACAGUUAAAAUUAUAAUUUUUAUAUUAAAAGUAUAUAUUGGCUACCCGUAAAAGCAGUAAUCGAAUGACAAAAACCUAACAAACUAUCCUGACAAACUUGCUGUCCGAUAAUGGGCGCAUUUCUGCAAAAUUAGCCCGCUAUCAAAAAUCUGGCUGCUCUCGUCAGUUAAAAACAUUAGCACGUACCGAUAUCCGCGGUUAGAGGCCCGCGGCGGGAUCCGGUAAACAUGGACCUCUGGCUUUACACAGAGCAUUGACUCGUAGCUGUUGUCUUCUGCCAUCUUGUCAAGUUUCACUAACCCAAAAACCAACUUCCGACUUUCAAUGGACCCUUCGCCUGCUCGGCUCUGUCCUGCUGAACCAGGCUAACCGGACCCUAACAGCGCCACCUCCGGCCAGGAUGUAUAAGCGCCUAAAGAGAAGACAUCCGUGUCUUGAAUCAGGCAGCUCCUGCCUAUCUGCACAGUCGGAAGCCUGAGGUGCCAUCCGGGCCGUUGGGUUGACGGAUCACGUGAUUGUUUGAACGAACUGGUUCCAGUGGUUGCUGCACACUCAUACAAGCUGGCCUAAUAAUGUUGAUUUUGCAGACAUUACAACUCACCUGUCCUGGCACUGAUUGUCCUGAGGCGUCUCUUCUGAAGAAGCACUACCCAAAAUCCUCCUUCGGGCUUCUGCAUACUCUGCCUCUCUCUGGGCCAGAGACUUCAUCUGCUGAGCGGGACGAGACGAGGCAGCGGGGUUUCCUGUGUUGCCGUUAUUUGUAGGGCGCUUUAAAAUUCGGAUUUGAGGUGGUGGUGCUGCUGGGAGAGAGUCAUCUUGGACUACGACAGCAGUUCGUAUAGGUGAACUGGCUGAUUUCAAAUUGGACUUUCUGCAAAGAUGAGAAAAUCAUUAGUGUUUGAAGAGGUCUGGGCAUGUUUUAAGUUAAGUUAAUUUCAUUUCCUUAGUUUUAGUCUUCCUAUUAAAGUUUUAAAAAAAUA